Molecule: non-coding RNA, 2105 nt
Organism: Pogona vitticeps (central bearded dragon)
Lineage: Eukaryota; Metazoa; Chordata; Lepidosauria; Squamata; Agamidae
Source: RefSeq, a predicted model, not a curated record
GCUGCUGCCGACAGAAGGGGCCUGGACCCCUAGGAUGGCGCCUUUUCCCUGGCUCUCCAGUUCUGCCCCUCAAAAAGCUCCCAGGCCAGGCCUUGGACGCCUCUGGUGGUGCCAGGAUGGGAGUUGGUGGGCUCUCCGUCCUCUCACGGGUUCACUACUUGUUUUAAUUGUGCCACCGUCACUUUGAAAUUGCACUUUCUGCACCCACAUCCCUCACUUCAGGACUCUUCUCUGCACCCCCCCCCCACCUACUUCUAAUACAAAACUGUUUCUAAAUAAUCAGAAAAGGGCUGUGUUUUCUCCAGAACUAUAAAUGCAGAAGCAGGGAAUACAUAUAUUAGACCACUUUAAAAAAAAUCAAGCAAACAACAUACAACGAGCGUUCGAUGGCAAUUCGUCUUCCUCAUCUUCCUGUGUCUAAAUAUUUCACUUCGUGUCUGAUGAGUUGAAUUUUUAAUCCAUAAAAGCUCCCACAGAAAUAAAUCUGUCAGUCUUAAAGGUGCCACAGUACUUCUGUUUCCAUUAUUUUAUUCAUAUACUGUAAUUUGGUUUGGUUUAUUAUGCACACAGAAAGGGACUACAGUACCUCUGUCAAAACUUUACCAGAUGGGAGUUAUAGUCACACUAGAUGGCAAAUGCCAUCUUGAGAAGGGCCAAGGGUUAACCACUCUUGCAGGAGAGUUUUGGCUUUCCUUGUUUCCCAGUCUGAUUUUAAAGCAUUUUCUGAGGAUCAAAUCUCAAGCAAAUGUCUGGGUGGAUAUUGAAUUUCAACAUCAUUUUUGGUCUGAACAUUUCCAGGGUGUCGGUGGAUGCUGAUUCCAUACAAGAGACAAUCUCUGUCCUCCAGCAUUGUGAAGUGUCUCGCGUAUAUUCUUUACAAGGCCUGCUUUUCUUGAAAGAACGGCUCAGGCAGUUUUGCAUCUACUGAAUUUGCCCCAGCUAAGUGGAAAAUAUUAUGGAAUUGCUGAAUGUACUGAAAGGGAAGGUCCCAUGUCAGACAUGAUGAUGGAAACCCUACCAGCGCAGCUGUGAAAGGACAAUCAUGGGCUGGAGUUGUCACCGCAAGGUUGUUCACACCAGGGGCAACUCGCACGUGCAUCCUAGCCCUUGGGCAAGUUCUCCAGGUCUCAGACUCUAGGCCCCAACACAGUAAAUACACGGCAGAUCAAGGAGAAAGAUCUGCAAAGAGCAGAGCCAAAAUUCCAUCGCUCUCGAGGAGGGUUCUUUGUUCCAGCAGCCCUCAAACUUUAUAAGGCCAAGACGCUGGCCCAACUGUUAUAUGGGUCAUCCCUGGGGCCGCUUCGCUCCCAUUUUGCACCUCAAGGUAAGCAUCCAAUCUAAAUUUUUAAGAACUAUCUUACAGGUCCCUAGAUGUUUGUCAAAUGCCAGGGUAAGAUUGGAGGCAGGUUGCCUAAAAGUUGAAGCCUGGGUUGUUAUCCUAUCUGUCAAUAUAUGUAUGGAUAAAAGGACAUCUAAAUCCACAACGUCUAUUUCCUUUGAUAUUUUAUGACAACCUCCAGUCCGACUGGGUGAAGUCUGUCCAGAGCUAUUCGCUGAAAAUCGGCCUUUCCCCUCAGGUGCUCUUAUCUGAUGGAACAGAUCGGGGGGAAAAAUUAGUUAAGCGGGGAAUUGAGGAUAUGGAACAUCAAGCGGACCUUCCCAGCAUACAGAAUAUGAUGAUGAGGGCCUACGUCAAAAACGCAGUGGAGCCGACAAAAUUAUUUAACAUCUCUUGAAGUAGAAGGGUUUGGAAGAGCCUUCACCGAGGAAAGGUGCUUAGCCCUCCCUUCUGCUGUACUUGAAGGGAAGGAAACAAGUACGCAAAUACCUGUUUCGCUGAAAGGCUUUGGAGCUGUCCCUUAAGGGAGGUCAAAACUAGAGCACACAUUCCUCACUUGCCCACAUUAUGAGGUGGCCUGGAAGAUCAUCAUCCCACUGACCCAAAAAAUUCCUGGCCAUUCAGAAAGAAAGCAGACGUGAAUGUCUUCUUUCUGAUUCUGUAUUCAGACCAUGGCCUUGCAGCAGCACCUCCAGGGAGGCGGACAUCCCACGGUGCAGAACCAGCCACCCACGUGUCAAAAAAGGGUUAGACCCCUCAUCAUGAG